AGAGUUGAUUCUUGGCUCAGAUUGAACGCUGGCGGCAGGCCUAACACAUGCAAGUCGAACGGUAACAGGAAGAAGCUUGCUUCUUUGCUGACGAGUGGCGGACGGGUGAGUAAUGUCUGGGAAACUGCCUGAUGGAGGGGGAUAACUACUGGAAACGGUAGCUAAUACCGCAUAACGUCGCAAGACCAAAGAGGGGGACCUUCGGGCCUCUUGCCAUCGGAUGUGCCCAGAUGGGAUUAGCUAGUAGGCGGGGUAACGGCUCACCUAGGCGACGAUCCCUAGCUGGUCUGAGAGGAUGACCAGCCACACUGGAACUGAGACACGGUCCAGACUCCUACGGGAGGCAGCAGUGGGGAAUAUUGCACAAUGGGCGCAAGCCUGAUGCAGCCAUGCCGCGUGUAUGAAGAAGGCCUUCGGGUUGUAAAGUACUUUCAGCGGGGAGGAAGGGAGUAAAGUUAAUACCUUUGCUCAUUGACGUUACCCGCAGAAGAAGCACCGGCUAACUCCGUGCCAGCAGCCGCGGUAAUACGGAGGGUGCAAGCGUUAAUCGGAAUUACUGGGCGUAAAGCGCAAGCAGGCGGUUUGUUAAGUCAGAUGUGAAAUCCCCGGGCUCAACCUGGGAACUGCAUCUGAUACUGGCAAGCUUGAGUCUCGUAGAGGGGGGUAGAAUUCCAGGUGUAGCGGUGAAAUGCGUAGAGAUCAGAAGGAAUACCGGUGGCGAAGGCGGCCCCCUGGACGAAGACUGACGCUCAGGUGCGAAAGCGUGGGGAACAAACAGGAUUAGAUACCCUGGUAGUCCACGCCGUAAACGAUGUCGACUUGGAGGUUGUGCCCUUGAGGCGUGGCUUCCGGAGCUAACGCGUUAAGUCGACCGCCUGGGGAGUACGGCCGCAAGGUUAAAACUCAAAUGAAUUGACGGGGGCCCGCACAAGCGGUGGAGCAUGUGGUUUAAUUCGAUGCAACGCGAAGAACCUUACCUGGUCUUGACAUCCACGGAAGUUUUCAGAGAUGAGAAUGUGCCUUCGGGAACCGUGAGACAGGUGCUGCAUGGCUGUCGUCAGCUCGUGUUGUGAAAUGUUGGGUUAAGUCCCGCAACGAGCGCAACCCUUAUCCUUUGUUGCCAGCGGUCCGGCCGGGAACUCAAAGGAGACUGCCAGUGAUAAACUGGAGGAAGGUGGGGAUGACGUCAAGUCAUCAUGGCCCUUACGACCAGGGCUACACACGUGCUACAAUGGCGCAUACAAAGAGAAGCGACCUCGCGAGAGCAAGCGGACCUCAUAAAGUGCGUCGUAGUCCGGAUUGGAGUCUGCAACUCGACUCCAUGAAGUCGGAAUCGCUAGUAAUCGUGGAUCAGAAUGCCACGGUGAAUACGUUCCCGGGCCUUGUACACACCGCCCGUCACACCAUGGGAGUGGGUUGCAAAAGAAGUAGGUAGCUUAACCUUCGGGAGGGCGCUUACCACUUUGUGAUUCAUGACUGGGGUGAAGU
Molecule: ribosomal RNA, 1488 nt
Filed under: uncultured bacterium
Lineage: Bacteria
Description: bacterial SSU rRNA
Rfam family: Bacterial small subunit ribosomal RNA
Source: RNAcentral